ACCAUGUUGUUGAUGAGCUGAAGACCAUGACUGAAGCACAGCAUCACUGCAGAGAGAACCACAUGGACCUGGCCACCAUACGAGACCAGGAGGACCUGGAGACCCUGAAGACCCUGAAGAAACCGAUCCACUCACGAGUCUGGAUCGGACUGUUCUAUUACUUGGAAGACUGGAGGUGGUCACUGUCAAACACAAGUUUCUACAAACCGGGGGAGAUGGAGUUCAGACGAUGGAAUUCUGGUGAACCAAACAACAAAAACUAUGAUCAACACUGCGGAGUGAUGAAUACAGAUGGGCGAUGGCACGACUUUCAGUGUGGGACGUUCUUAAAGUCAGUCUGCUUCGAUGUCAGAGGGCCAAACACAUUAGUCCUCAUUAACACCACCAUGACAUGGACUGAGGCC
Molecule: long non-coding RNA, 404 nt
Organism: Pseudoliparis swirei
Lineage: Eukaryota; Metazoa; Chordata; Actinopteri; Perciformes; Liparidae
Exons: 3
Source: RefSeq, a predicted model, not a curated record